Long non-coding RNA from Nematostella vectensis (starlet sea anemone), 2012 nucleotides. RefSeq lists it as uncharacterized. The transcript is spliced from 2 exons. Lineage: Eukaryota; Metazoa; Cnidaria; Anthozoa; Actiniaria; Edwardsiidae. The record is from RefSeq and is a predicted model, not a curated record.
GAAAAGUGGGGGGGGGGGGGGGGAGGGGGCGCUGCUGGCGUCCACCUGAAAGAAAGAACCGCACUCACUCACUCACUAAUACCCGUGAUUCUCAGGACAAACUUCGAAUCCCGUCCACCAGCGGACGGGGUGAUUGGUCGCAAAAAAAUGGGAUGCUUUGAUGCGAAGCAGUAACUCCUGAAAAGUCACACAUUCCCCAAACAAGCUUCGGAUUAGAAAUUACCCUAAGUCGAGCGCUGGAGAUUUCGAAAGCAAAAUCUCCAAAGUACUCUCGGAGUUCUGCGUUAACGUUUUUUUGCCAAAAGAUAAACAGUUCUGGUCGCAGAUCCUUGUUUCUACCGUUCGGAAAACUAUUGCUACUUUCGUAGAGGGUUUGUCGAGAAAAUCCCCGAUACUUAGAUGCUCGAUAGUUGGAGCGCUUUCGCGACUGACAAACGCUGACGGCUGCAAAGGGGACUAGAUGCUUGAUGGCCGUUUCGCCUCAAAAACCCAAAAACGUUAUCGUGGAUUUCUUAGUUUUAGGGCUAGGACGCCUUUCCGGAGAAGUCGUAGUUAGCAACUGUUUCUUGGAUCUUGCAGGAGGAGAAUCGAGUCCGAUGUUUGCUUCGAAUCGAUUUCGGGGAUUGCGCUCGCUUGGGGAGCUUCUAUAUGCUUUCGCUAAAGUUGAUUCCAGAAGCUUAUAAAACUUUCAUAUGUCUUCCGUAAACUGUGGGUGCAAAGCUUACAAAUUCGGUCUGACAGCCUGGGAGACUUACUCUCACAGCCAACUCGCAGGUUUUCCUUUGCCUCUGUCAGAGAUGCUGUGGGAGUCCACAACCAAAGCAAGCGAGCACUUACAUAAAUGUAUGCAGCGCACACUGGGUGGACUGUCUGGGCUAGUCUGCUAGGUUGAUGAUGUUCUGGAGCCAGCCAGACUUGACAUGACGGGAGGUUGAAUGCUGUUUUAGAGAGGCUAGAGAAAGCCAAUAUAGCCCUCAACUUAGAGAAAUGUGUAUUUUUCAGGAUCGAGUAGAAUUCCUUUUUCAUUCAAGUAAAAAAAAAAACAAGUUUGAUCCCUCUAAGCUGUGAGAGCCUACUGACUUGGCAGAGUUGAGAAGAUUCUUAGAAAUGGUUAACCAUUUGGGGAAAGUAUGUCGUCAAUCCUGCAGAUAUGACGAAGCCCCUGCGUGAUCUCCUUGAACAAGGACAGAGCAUGGUUAUGGGAUGAGCCACAACAGAGAUCGUUUAAUAACAUAAAGAAUGCACUCAGUAAAGCCCCUACUCUAGCGACAUAUGACCAGUGAAGGAAACCAAGAUCUCUGCGGAAACAUCCUCGUAUGGGCUAGGUGCUCCGUCCCUAAUAAAGAUGUACUUUGCUUGAUAUUUAAGUCUUCGGCAGUCUCUCUUUGCAUGUUCCCAGAGUUAACAGUUUAUAUAUCAGGCUAAACAUUCAUAUAAGUUUCUCAUAGUAUAAAGAAACUCCCCUCCCCAUUGACCGCCAAAGCGGGUCAUUCUCAUAGUCAAAUCCUAUUUCCCACAUGCCUAAUAUAUAGAUUUAGGCACUGCCUAAAAGCGGAGCCAGCAUGCAAUAAUUUUAGCCAUAUUAUAAUACCUAUAUAUGUAUGUAUAUAUGUAAUGUGUGAGUGAAGCCCUUCAUAGAAAAGUGCUUGAUGCACAGGUGUAGAGUGGAAUAUGUGUAUGUAUAUUUUUUUAUUGUUGUUUAACCCGGAAAAACCUGUUGGGUGUAUAUUGGAGGUAUCAUCCAAUAGGGAACAUUGAAGAAUUGAAAAUGAAUUAUAGUUUUUUUUACAGUAAAAUGGGUGCUUUUUAUUCUCUUUAUUAUUUAAAACCAUAUCAGCACACAACGCGUUUCUAUACAUUAGCAUAUCGUUUUUGCCAGUAAAUGUGCUCCAUACUUGCCUAAACUGUCAAAAUUCCCUUUCUUCCUUUCACAUUGCACUACUACUAGAUUUUCUUGAUUUUUAUAAUUUUCUCUCAGUUGAAGGGUAAUAAAAGUUAUUUGGUAGAAAUUA